RNAcentral lists this ribosomal RNA (368 nucleotides) under Escherichia coli. Its description in RNAcentral is "bacterial SSU rRNA". RNAcentral also lists the same sequence under 1 other name. The record is from RNAcentral. Lineage: Bacteria; Pseudomonadati; Pseudomonadota; Gammaproteobacteria; Enterobacterales; Enterobacteriaceae.
CAUGCAAGUCGAACGGUAACAGGAAGAAGCUUGSUUCUUUGCUGACGAGUGGCGGACGGGUGAGUAAUGUCUGGGAAACUGCCUGAUGGAGGGGGAUAACUACUGGAAACGGUAGCUAAUACCGCAUAACGUCGCAAGACCAAAGAGGGGGACCUUCGGGCCUCUUGCCAUCGGAUGUGCCCAGAUGGGAUUAGCUUGUAGGUGGGGUAACGGCUCACCUAGGCGACGAUCCCUAGCUGGUCUGAGAGGAUGACCAGCCACACUGGAACUGAGACACGGUCCAGACUCCUACGGGAGGCAGCAGUGGGGAAUAUUGCACAAUGGGCGCAAGCCUGAUGCAGCCAUGCCGCGUGUAUGAAGAAGGCCUU